GGCUCAGUGGUCUAGGGGUAUGAUUCGCCGUUCGGGUCGGCGAGGUCCCGGGUUCAAAUCCCGGCUGAGCCC
Molecule: transfer RNA, 72 nt
Filed under: Ramicandelaber brevisporus
Lineage: Eukaryota; Fungi; Kickxellomycota; Ramicandelaberales; Ramicandelaberaceae
Description: tRNA-Pro
Rfam family: tRNA
About the family: Transfer RNA (tRNA) molecules are approximately 80 nucleotides in length. Their secondary structure includes four short double-helical elements and three loops (D, anti-codon, and T loops).
Source: RNAcentral